ACCGCAUACGAUCUAAGGAUGAAAGCGGGGGAUCGCAAGACCUCGCGCGAUUGGAGCGGCCGAUAUCAGAUUAGGUAGUUGGUGAGGUAAAGGCUCACCAAGCCAACGAUCUGUAGCUGGUCUGAGAGGACGACCAGCCACACUGGAACUGAGACACGGUCCAGACUCCUACGGGAGGCAGCAGUGGGGAAUUUUGGACAAUGGACGCAAGUCUGAUCCAGCCAUUCCGCGUGCAGGAUGAAGGCCCUCGGGUUGUAAACUGCUUUUGUACGGAACGAAAAGGUUUCUAUUAAUACUAGGAGCUCAUGACGGUACCGUAAGAAUAAGCACCGGCUAACUACGUG
This 344-nucleotide ribosomal RNA is filed under the name uncultured bacterium. Its description in RNAcentral is "bacterial SSU rRNA". It matches the Rfam family "Bacterial small subunit ribosomal RNA", at positions 168 to 507 of the family's 1533-position model. The record is from RNAcentral.